This 560-nucleotide ribosomal RNA is filed under the name uncultured Eubacteriales bacterium. RNAcentral describes it as "bacterial SSU rRNA". It matches the Rfam family "Bacterial small subunit ribosomal RNA", at positions 88 to 667 of the family's 1533-position model. The record is from RNAcentral. Lineage: Bacteria; Bacillati; Bacillota; Clostridia; Eubacteriales.
AAUGAGAGUGGCGAACGGGUGAGUAACGCGUGAGCAACCUGCCUAUGACAGUGGGAUAGCCUCGGGAAACCGGGAUUAAUACCGCAUAAAAUCGUAGAAACACAUGUUUUAACGGUCAAAGAUUUAUCGGUCAUAGAUGGGCUCGCGUCUGAUUAGCUAGUUGGUGAGAUAACAGCCCACCAAGGCGACGAUCAGUAGCCGGUCUGAGAGGAUGAACGGCCACAUUGGAACUGAGACACGGUCCAAACUCCUACGGGAGGCAGCAGUGGGGAAUAUUGCACAAUGGGGGAAACCCUGAUGCAGCGACGCCGCGUGAACGAAGAAGGUAUUCGUAUCGUAAAGUUCUGUCCUAUGGGAAGAUAAUGACAGUACCAUAGAAGAAAGCUCCGGCUAAAUACGUGCCAGCAGCCGCGGUAAUACGUAUGGAGCGAGCGUUGUCCGGAAUUAUUGGGCGUAAAGGGUACGCAGGCGGUUUAAUAAGUCGAAUGUUAAAGAUCGGGGCUCAACCCCGUAAAGCAUUGGAAACUGAUAAACUUGAGUAGUGGAGAGGAAAGUGGAAU